This 73-nucleotide transfer RNA is filed under the name Zootermopsis nevadensis. It matches the Rfam family "tRNA". From Rfam's summary of the family: Transfer RNA (tRNA) molecules are approximately 80 nucleotides in length. Their secondary structure includes four short double-helical elements and three loops (D, anti-codon, and T loops). Further hydrogen bonds mediate the characteristic L-shaped molecular structure. tRNAs have two regions of fundamental functional importance: the anti-codon, which is responsible for specific mRNA codon recognition, and the 3' end, to which the tRNAs corresponding amino acid is attached (by aminoacyl-tRNA synthetases). tRNAs cope with the degeneracy of the genetic code in two manners: having more than one tRNA (with a specific anti-codon) for a particular amino acid; and 'wobble' base-pairing, i.e. permitting non-standard base-pairing at the 3rd anti-codon position. The record is from Rfam by way of RNAcentral. Lineage: Eukaryota; Metazoa; Arthropoda; Insecta; Blattodea; Termopsidae.
GUUACGGUGGUCUAGCGGUGAGAACGCUGGCCUUGUAAUCCUGGGGUCUCGGGUUCGAUUCCCGGCGGUGCCC